UACGUAGGGUCCGAGCGUUGUCUGGAAUUAUUGGGCGUAAAGAGCUCGUAGGCGGUUUGUCGCGUCUGCUGUGAAAUCCCGAGGCUCAACCUCGGGCCUGCAGUGGGUACGGGCAGACUGGAGUGCGGUAGGGGAGAAUGGAAUUCCUGGUGUAGCGGUGGAAUGCGCAGAUAUCAGGAGGAACACCGAUGGCGAAGGCAGUUCUCUGGGCCGUAACUGACGCUGAGGAGCGAAAGCGUGGGGAGCGAACAGG
Molecule: ribosomal RNA, 253 nt
Filed under: uncultured bacterium
Lineage: Bacteria
Description: partial 16S ribosomal RNA
Rfam family: Bacterial small subunit ribosomal RNA
Source: RNAcentral